RNAcentral lists this non-coding RNA (712 nucleotides) under Perkinsus marinus ATCC 50983. Its description in RNAcentral is "Eukaryotic small subunit ribosomal RNA". It matches the Rfam family "Eukaryotic small subunit ribosomal RNA", at positions 1 to 716 of the family's 1831-position model. The record is from Rfam by way of RNAcentral. Lineage: Eukaryota; Perkinsozoa; Perkinsida; Perkinsidae.
CACCUGGUUGAUCCUGCCAGUAGUCAUAUGCUUGUCUCAAAGAUUAAGCCAUGCAUGUCUAAGUAUAAGCUUUAAACGGCGAAACUGCGAAUGGCUCAUUAAAACAGUUAUAGUUUAUUUGGUGAUCGAUUACUAUUUGGAUAACCGUAGUAAUUCUAGAGCUAAUACAUGCGUCAAGGCCCGACUUCGGAAGGGCUGCGUUUAUUAGAUACAGAACCAACCUAGGCUCCGCCUAGUCCUUGUUGGUGAUUCAUAAUAACCCGGCGAAUCGCACGGCUUGUCCGGCGAUGGACCAUUCAAGUUUCUGACCUAUCAGCUAUGGACGGUAGGGUAUUGGCCUACCGUGGCGUUGACGGGUAACGGGGAAUUAGGGUUCGAUUCCGGAGAGGGAGCCUGAGAAACGGCUACCACAUCUAAGGAAGGCAGCAGGCGCGCAAAUUACCCAAUCCUGAUACAGGGAGGUAGUGACAAGAAAUAACAAUACAGGGCAAUUCUGUCUUGUAAUUGGAAUGAGUAGAUUUUAAAUCUCUUUACGAGUAUCAAUUGGAGGGCAAGUCUGGUGCCAGCAGCCGCGGUAAUUCCAGCUCCAAUAGCGUAUAUUAAAGUUGUUGCGGUUAAAAAGCUCGUAGUUGGAUUUCUGCCUUGGGGCGAACGAUCACCUUUCCCUACGGGAUGGUCGGUAUCAGGUUUGACCUUGGCUUUUUCUUGGGAU